UACAGAGGGGGCAAGCGUUGUUCGGAAUUACUGGGCGUAAAGGGCGCGUAGGCGGCCUGUUAAGUCGAACGUGAAAUCCCCGGGCUCAACCCGGGAACUGCGUCCGAUACUGGCAGGCUUGAAUCCGGGAGAGGGAUGCGGAAUUCCAGGUGUAGCGGUGAAAUGCGUAGAUAUCUGGAAGAACACCGGUGGCGAAGGCGGCCUGCUGGGCAGUGGCUGACGCUGAGGCGCGACAGCGUGGGGAGCAAACAGG
This 253-nucleotide ribosomal RNA is filed under the name uncultured bacterium. RNAcentral describes it as "partial 16S ribosomal RNA". It matches the Rfam family "Bacterial small subunit ribosomal RNA", at positions 524 to 776 of the family's 1533-position model. The record is from RNAcentral.